UUUAUUAAUGACAGCUAAUCAUUGUAUAAAGAUUUUUAUAACAAUAUUUAUUUAUAUAAUAUCAAUUUAAUACAUUUAUUUCGUUACACCUACAUCACUGAGCGCAAGGGAGUGCAGCCAACAAAUACAUUCAGGUGUGUUUGACUUAACACCGAGAUGCGCAGACAGCACGUGGUAUGACAUCAAAGUACCGCGAGAGUUUUGGGAAAGCCCCGGAAAAGGUUUGAACUCGCGGUACUUGAUGUCACGAUCGGUUUGCGCGUAGAUCAGCAUGAAGUCGAACACAUCUGAAAGAUGUGUGGGCUGCCUGCACUCAACGUUGCGUUAAUUCAGUAGAGUGUAACCUCAAUCGGUUUUUGCAGCUUCUGGGUGUCGUGUCGAACGAUCACAGAACGAUUUUUUGUUCUUUUCCAUCUCGAUUUUUAACUCCUUAAACUAGUAGGAUGUUCCAACGGGUGAAGCAACAGUGCUUCAGUGACGGAGUUUCAGUGUGUUUUCAUGCCAUGACCACUGGGGCGGAAACCAUGACGUUGCCUUGGACUUCAAACUAAACCAUCUCAUUCUGGCUUUUUUCUAACCUCGAAAUCUCAGAAGGACAGGUCUAAUGGCCUCCAUAGGAUGCAACCUUGCAUUUGAGAAACACCCAUAGAACGGUCAACUUACCCCAUACUCUAACCUGAAUGCAGGGAUCAUAAAACUUUAUCUUUUACCUUAAUUGUUAGAUGGGUGUUGAUACCAAACUUUUUUUUCUCGUCUACCCAGGAGAAAGUCAUGGGUUCUGCUGCUGAGGUUGUCAUAAAGCAUGCUUUUUUCCAUUUGUUGCAUUUGGCAAUAUUAUCAAAAGAUUCUGAAAGAAAUAAGAUAAUUUUCAAAGCAUUAACAUGAAUAUGAAAGUCAUUAAUGACCAUCUUUUAUUAUUGUUUAUUUACAGUGUCUUUUAUUCUGCUUACCUGACUCAUGCAGAAUUCUGGCUUGAUGUUUGGUCCACCUGUUAGCUGGCUCUGGUGCUUGGUAGUCUUCUCAAACCUCUGAAUCAAGGCCACCAUGAGAGGCCUUCUGAAGACCAUCAUUACGCUGCAGAUCCAGUGGUCUUUACUAUGAGAUAGAACUGAACUGGAGUCUGUGAACUAAUGCUGUGUUCGAGACAACUUGGAUGUUUGAUAUUAUUGACCUCAAACCCAUAAGAAGUCUGGAACAGUAAACAAAGUUGAGAAUCCGACCUCUCAACUUGGGACAGAUCGAUCAACAACGACCUCAACGAGAUGCGUCAUUUGACAUUGCAGACAAGGUGGUGGCUAGCCUUUCACAGCCUUACAUGAACCGCAAACAAACUUUAAACUAUUUUUACAGCACAUAAUAUUUAUGAACAUGAAUGUUAAAUUAUCCAGUAACCGUUUUCUGCCAUAAUUGGCACAAGAGCACAAACUUCUCCUGGCGUCUCAUUAUGUGGUAAACACGCAAAUGUGAUAUGUGAUUGACUGGAAUGCAUUGAGGUCAGAGGUAGGAUAUUUAAUGACAUAACAUCAGAAAUCCGAGUUGUCUGUAACACUGCACAAUAUUUCACAUAAUUGUCACCACCUGAUUAUCCUCCCAUGUUUUUAACACAACCAUUGAUUGGUCAAGCGGAUGAAGGCAGCAAGCAGAGAAAUUUGUCCUUUGUAUCUCUCAAAAAAAAGGAAAAAAAGAAAUCUAUAUUUAAUGUUAAAAAACACUUACUGUGUUAGAUAACUGUGCUCUUGGAAGUCAGCUUAAGUUAACAAAUGGCAAUGUUAAUGAAAAGUUCAUUUUUGUCACAGUUGCAAAUUAACCACCACACUGAAUAUGAAGAAUAGCCAGAACUGUGGUAUUAAGCUAGCCCUAAAAUGUUGUGAGAAUCUUGAUGUAUUGGACACAGGUGUGUAGUAUCUGUUAUAUAUUGACGGUUGACAGGUUUGUUUGCAUGUAAUUGCAUUAUUAUUAAUUUGGGGUUGAUAGUCCAAUGUUGAUUUGAGAGAAAUAUUUUUUUCUUUUUCUUUUUAGAUCCUUUCUCUUUUUUUAUGCAGCUCUUAAGGAUGAACCACCCUGAUCUACUAAGAUGCACAGAUUCAACUCUGGCCCAGCAUCAUCCCCACACCUCAUCUGCCAUCAAUUUAAUUUAAUGUCUGUCAAUUGCAAAUGCUAUUUCAGUUAUAUUACAACUUAAUAUUAACUUUACUUUGAGACUAGUAUUGUGUAAAGCUGGGGUUUCCAAACUUUUCAUUUUAAAACCUAUUAGACAAGUAUAAUCUAUUCUAGACCCACUAAAAUAUUUUUAAAUAUAAAUUUUUUUAAUGGGGUAAAACACAUUUGUUCUCUUUCAGUGGAGUCAUUUUAUUUUCAUAAUAUUUCAUAAUGUAAAGCAGUGGUUCUUAACGUUAUUCCUCGAGGCCCAUUGCUCUGCACAUUUUGUAUGUCUCUUUUAUC
Long non-coding RNA from Paramisgurnus dabryanus, 2442 nucleotides. RefSeq lists it as uncharacterized. NCBI's taxonomy places the organism in Eukaryota, Metazoa, Chordata, Actinopteri, Cypriniformes, Cobitidae. The record is from RefSeq and is a predicted model, not a curated record.